GCGGAGGAUCCUCGGCGGGUCCGCCCGCAGAUUGGACAACAUUCAAACCCUUUGCAGUUGCAAUCAGCGUCUGAAAAAACAUAAUAGUUACAACUUUCAACAACGGAUCUCUUGGUUCUGGCAUCGAUGAAGAACGCAGCGAAAUGCGAUAAGUAGUGUGAAUUGCAGAAUUCAGUGAAUCAUCGAAUCUUUGAACGCACAUUGCGCCCCUUGGUAUUCCAUGGGGCAUGCCUGUUCGAGCGUCAUUUGUACCUUCAAGCUCUGCUUGGUGUUGGGUGUUUGUCUCGCCUCUGCGUGUAGACUCGCCUUAAAACAAUUGGCAGCCGGCGUAUUGAUUUCGGAGCGCAGUACAUCUCGCGCUUUGCACUCAUAACGACGACGUCCAAAAGUACAUUUUUACACUCUUGACCUCGGAUCAGGUAGGGAUACCCGCUGAACUUAAGCAUAUCA
Molecule: ribosomal RNA, 450 nt
Filed under: Epicoccum nigrum
Lineage: Eukaryota; Fungi; Ascomycota; Dothideomycetes; Pleosporales; Didymellaceae
Description: eukaryotic LSU rRNA
Rfam family: 5.8S ribosomal RNA (bases 92-245)
Source: RNAcentral